RNAcentral lists this ribosomal RNA (253 nucleotides) under uncultured bacterium. Its description in RNAcentral is "partial 16S ribosomal RNA". It matches the Rfam family "Bacterial small subunit ribosomal RNA", at positions 524 to 776 of the family's 1533-position model. The record is from RNAcentral.
UACGGAGGGUGCGAGCGUUAUCCGGAUUUACUGGGUGUAAAGGGCGUGUAGGCGGGAAGACAAGUCAGAUGUGAAAUCCCCGGGCUUAACUCUGGAGCUGCAUCUGAAACUGGUUUUCCAGAGUGCCGGAGAGGAAAGUGGAAGUCCCAGUGUAGCGGUGAAAUGCGUAGAGAUUGGGAGGAACACCAGUGGCGAAGGCGGCUUUCUGGCGCAUAACUGACGCUCAGGCGCGAAAGCGUGGGGAGCAAACAGG